Molecule: long non-coding RNA, 1786 nt
Filed under: Olea europaea subsp. europaea
Lineage: Eukaryota; Viridiplantae; Streptophyta; Magnoliopsida; Lamiales; Oleaceae
Source: RNAcentral
AAUCUCAUGUUACUGAUAGUUAUAUAACAACAGAACAGGCCCAAUUCGAAAUGGCCAUGGUAAAAACAAAGAGGUUGUACAUCUUGGAAAAAAAGAACACAUCCAUAAAGUGAUACUACAUUCAGCCUCAUCCCAUAUUCAUGAAUCUGAUUACAAACGUUCAAGACUGUUAACACUCUCUUGCGUUACAAAAGGCUGAUGUGUUAGAGAAGAUAAGAUGCAGUGAUCUUCGACCUCGUCAUCAUUUUGUGUGUUCGCGACAUUUUCUUCCGGUCUACUAUACCUAAUCGAAAGGGUUGAAUUUGCUGGAACCUGCACAUGUUGAAAACAAUAAGUUGGUUAAAAGGCAAUUAAAUGAUUACACAAACCAUUAACUGAUAAGAGUAAUGUAGAGAUAGCAAGACCUUUUUUUGACCCUUUGAUUUUUUUGAACUCGCCUCCAACGGACUCUUUUUGCGCAAUUUUUUAGGCACCCUUUCUUUUCGUAAGCUUCGGGUCCAAAAUGUGCAGGCUUUCGUCAUUCCAAGCUUCAGGCACGUACGAACCCGAGUACCAACGUCUGAUUUAGAUAAUUGGUUUGUUUGGAAUUCAAUCCACCCCAAUAGAUGAUUAGACCGUUCUUCGUUUCGCGCCACCAAGUCUACCAUCUUUGUAAAAGCGUGACACAACCUCUCGUACCUUAAUUGUUCAGCUGUACAAACCAAACCAUCGAAUGUUGUUGGAACCCGCAUGUAUGGUCUACUAACAUCUCACCUCCAUCUCCGCAAGACAUACUUAUCCGGAAGCAAUUGUACAUCAUUCCAAAUUAAAAUCGAUAUUGAGUGUUUGCAAAUGAUGCCUCGAAACUCAAACAAAUGACAAUUGCAAUCAAUCUCACAACUGUCUCUACGGAAAUGAACUGUAAAUAUUCUUUUCUUCAUUCCUUCACUGAGAAUGAUAUCCUCACGUACUUCAUACUUCGUUAGCCCGAGAAAGUCCGUCAUAGAUAAGACUUCACAGUAUACCUUCCCCGUGAAUUCUUGUUGGAACUCUCUAAAUUUUGAUAAAGAAUACACAUCUUGAAAUUGUUUCUCCAUAUCAUACUUAGUGGCACAUGGAAUCAUUUGUGAAAAUGAUCUAAAAUCAGCUUGAAAUUCCUUCUCCACUUUACUUCGCAAUGCCCACUCAUAUUGCUCAACAAAAAGCUUUAAAGAAGUUUUCAAAUGCACAUAGCCGUAAAAAAAUGCAUUCAUGCUCUCACUCCUUUGUGUGGUUGACAUACCAGCCCAGAAUGUAGUGUUCAGGUAGCAUGGUACCCAACGACUUCUCUCUUUAUAGAGUCCACUCAACCAAUCAUGAUCUCGUAAUUCAAAAUGAUCAAGCAUAUUCAACCAUCCUUCCUCAAAUUCUUCACAGCUUAAUGUGUCGUAGACUAACACAUGUAUAGCAUGUAAUAUUGAGCCUUUGGCUUUGUGAUAGCCAAACUUUUUUGGCAACUUCUUUAGUAUAUACCAUAAGCACCAUCUAUGCUUCGUGUUAGGGAAGACAAUUUGAAUAGCAUUUUGCAUAGCUCGAUCUUGAUCUAUAAUUAUUCCAUUAGGAGCUUGAUCAUUCAUGCAUUCUAGUCAUGUCCGAAAUAACCAAACAAAUGUGUUAGUAUCUUCAUUUGAAACCAAACCAUAACCAAGAAGAGUUUACUGUCCAUGGUGAUUGACCCCACAAAAGGAGCAAAAGGCAUAUCAUACUUGUUAGUGAGGUAUGUGGUAUCAAACGUAACGACAUCUCCAAAUUCCUUAUACGCUUCACG